GCAGAGACUAACCCUCGUACCUUUUGCAUCAUGAUUCAGCAAGUUAACUCAAGCAAAGAGAACUCUAGUUUGCACCCCCGAAACUUGACGAGCUACUCCGAGACAGCCAACUAUGGGCCAACCCAUCUCUGUGGCAAAAGAGUGGGAAGAUCUCUGGGUAGAGGCAAAAAACCUACCGAGCCAAGUUAUAGCUGGUUGCCCAAUAAAUGAAUAAAAGUUCAGCCCCGCCUAGCCCAACUCAGACCGUUUUACAAAAAAGACAAAGAGCUAAUCCCGGGAGUUAGUCAGAGGAGGUACAGCUCCCCUGACCCAGGAUACAACCUUUCUAGGAGGCAAAAGAAUAUUACCGACAAGGCCCUGGGCCUCAGUGGGCCUGAAAGCAGCCAUCUGACCCGAAAGCGUUAAAGCUCCGGCCCUAAGAAUAAGCCUAUUAUUUAAUUUUUAUCUCUGUCCCCCUACACCUUAUUGGGCCCCUCCAUGCGUUCAUGGAAGAGAUUAUGCUGGAACGAGUAACAAGAAGAAUGAACUUCUCCACGCACAAGUGUAAGUCAAAUUGGACUAACCACCGACAAUCAACGAACCCAAUAAAAGAGGGCCCUACACACCCGCCACCUCUGGCCAAGAAAACCAUGUUCCCCAGGAUCGUUACCCCAACACAGGAGUGCUAGAAUAGGGAAAGACUUAAAGAAAAAAAAGGAACUCGGCAAACCCAAACCCCGCCUGUUUACCAAAAACAUCGCCUCUUGCAUCACAAAGUAUAAGAGGUCCCACCU
Molecule: ribosomal RNA, 773 nt
Filed under: Engraulis ringens (Peruvian anchovy)
Lineage: Eukaryota; Metazoa; Chordata; Actinopteri; Clupeiformes; Engraulidae
Description: partial 16S ribosomal RNA
Rfam family: Bacterial large subunit ribosomal RNA
Source: RNAcentral